GCCCCCACCACCUUAAACCCUGCCCAUCAGCUAUAGGCUCCGCCCCCUACUCCGCCAUCCAGGCCGUGUCGCACCCCACUCUAGAGCCUAACCUCAACCUCUGGGGAAGAAAACUAGAAUUUCUCCUCCGUGCGUGGAUGAAAUAGGGGUCAGUUCUCCCGCCGCGGCCUAAGCCAUCUCAGUGGUUCGGAGACCGGAGGUCCAAGCACUUCCGCUUCCGGUGGCCCAAGACCGGAAGCGGAAGUACGUGUGCGGCUGUGGCUGGCGGACGCGCAACUGCGUGGGUCGCUGCGGUGGGAGUGUUGUCGGCCGGUGUGCAGGUGGAACACCUCCUGAGACCUCGAACCCUGGCACCACUGUCAUGACUGGGGAUCUCAGCUCAAACCCAAGGAGCUGGCCUUGAUGUGGGAUGUUUUGGAGGACGCGGGAUCCAGUAACGUGCGGAUGAGACUGACAGCGGCUGUGCAGAGUCAGAGGGUGGAGACACCAUUGCCCACGCUGGGUCUCCCCAUCCCAGGGGUGUCCAGGGCUUCUGGGUCUCCAGACAGCCUGGUGGUCCGGGAGACUGAAAGGAGCCCUGGGAGGGGCUUCAUAAAGGAAGGACUGAUGACCGCAUGUCAGCUGGAUUCUUCACUAUGGAUUAUGGGUGAAGGCCAUUGGUGAUCCUGGCUCAGAAUUCAUCCCUGGAAUGGUGGGGUGGGCUCAGAGGUGUCAUGGCCCACUGUAGUGAAUAGACACUGGACAACAGCCAUAGGGAAAAGUGUCUCCCCCUAAAACGUAGUCCUAACUACUUGUACCUGUGCAUGUGGCCUUAUUUGGAAAUGGGGUCUUUGCAGAUGAGGUCCCAUUAAGAAGAGGUCAUGAUGGUGGCCCUAAUGCAGUGGGACUGUGUCUUUCUAAGAAAGAUAAAUUCCACAAGGAGCCUCAGAGACAAGGCUGUGUGGAGGCAGAGGUUGGAGGGUGCAGCCACAUAAAAGCUACGGAGCACAGGGGUCCUUGGGUGCCACCUGAAGCCAGGAAGAGGCAAGAGAGGGUGCUACUCAGAGUCUCAGAAGGAGAGUGACCCUGUUGCCACCUUGAUUUUGGUCAUCAAAUCUUUAGAAGUGUGGGAGAACUUCCUGUGGUUUUAAGGUACUCACUUUGUGGUACUUUGGUAUGGCAGCCCCAGGAAACCUACAGAUGGGGUCAGGUUUACA
Molecule: long non-coding RNA, 1196 nt
Filed under: Castor canadensis (American beaver)
Lineage: Eukaryota; Metazoa; Chordata; Mammalia; Rodentia; Castoridae
Description: lncRNA (ENSCCNG00000024913.1)
Source: RNAcentral